Molecule: ribosomal RNA, 402 nt
Filed under: uncultured bacterium
Lineage: Bacteria
Description: bacterial SSU rRNA
Rfam family: Bacterial small subunit ribosomal RNA
Source: RNAcentral
AGCGAACGCUGGCGGCGUGCUUAACACAUGCAAGUCGAGUGCGUAGCCCUUUGUAGCAAUACAGAGGGUGGGCGCACGGCGCACGGGUGAGUAACACGUGGGUAACCUGCCCUUCGGUGGGAAUAACCCCGCGAAAGCGGGGCUAAUUCCGCAUAACAUUCCGGGGACACAUGUUCUCGGACUCAAAGGAGUGAUUCGCCGGAGGAGGGGCCCGCGCCCGAUUAGCUUGUUGGUAGGGUAACGGCCUACCAAGGCUUUGAUCGGUAGCCGGUCUGAGAGGAUGGCCGGCCACACUGGAACUGAGACACGGUCCAGACUCUACGGGAGGCAGCAGUGGGGAAUCUUGCGCAAUGGGCGAAAGCCUGACGCAGCGACGCCGCGUGGGGAGUGAAGCUUCUCGGA